AAAAGGCGGCGUAAGCUGUCGCUAAAGGAUGGACCCGCGGUGCAUUAGCUAGUUGGUAAGGUAACGGCUUACCAAGGCGACGAUGCAUAGCCGAGUUGAGAGACUGAUCGGCCACAUUGGGACUGAGACACGGCCCAAACUCCUACGGGAGGCAGCAGUAGGGAAUCUUCCACAAUGGGCGAAAGCCUGAUGAAGCAACGCCGCGUGAGUGAAGAAGGUUUUCGGAUCGUAAAGCUCUGUUGUUGGUGAAGAAGGAUAGAGGUAGUAACUGGCCCCUAUUUGACGGUAAUCAACCAGAAAGUCACGGCUAACUACGUGCCAGCAGCCGCGGUAAUACGUAGGUGGCAAGCGUUGUCCGGAUUUAUUGGGCGUAAAGCGAGCGCAGGCGGAAAGAUAAGUCUGAUGUGAAAGCCCCCGGCUUAACCGAGGAAUUGCAUCGGAAACUGUGUUUCUUGAGUGCAGAAGAGGAGAGUGGAACUCCAUGUGUAGCGGUGGAAUGCGUAGAUAUAUGGAAGAACACCAGUGGCGAAGGCGGCUCUCUGGUCUGUAACUGACGCUGAGGCUCGAAAGCAUGGGUAGCGAACAGGAUUAGAUACCCUGGUAGUCCAUGCCGUAAACGAUGAGUGCUAAGUGUUGGGAGGUUUCCGCCUCUCA
Molecule: ribosomal RNA, 654 nt
Filed under: uncultured bacterium
Lineage: Bacteria
Description: bacterial SSU rRNA
Rfam family: Bacterial small subunit ribosomal RNA
Source: RNAcentral